RNAcentral lists this unclassified non-coding RNA (1136 nucleotides) under Eurytemora carolleeae. RNAcentral describes it as "zyxin". Lineage: Eukaryota; Metazoa; Arthropoda; Copepoda; Calanoida; Temoridae. The record is from RNAcentral.
CUGUAAUUUUUAGUGUCAUGUCUGUGAUGAAAAGCUGCGUGGGAGUUACUUCUUCUUCCAGAAUAAACCCAUCUGUGAGAAGGAUUUCCAGAACACCCAGCAAAGCUGCUCUGAGUGUGGAGAGGUUAUUGAAGGAACAUACUAUUCACUCAAUAACAAGGUCUACUGUGAGAAGGAUUACAAGGCCUACACUGAUGAAUGCGGGUCCUGUGGAGAACCUAUUGCUGGAAAAGUAAUUAAAAUUACAGGAGCUGCCUUUCAUCCACACUGCUUCAACUGCCAGGAGUGUAACUCUAAUAUGGUUGGACUACCCUUCUCUACUGAUCAAGAAAACACUGUUUAUUGUCCAGAAGAUUUUACAAGGAAGUUUGCUGCUCUCUGUACAGUCUGUAAGAACCCUAUAGUUCCUAAGGAGGGUCAUACAACAGCACCCAGAAUAAGAGCUCUUGAUAAGGAUUUCCAUCCUGCCUGCUUUAAGUGUGAGGAUUGCCAUCUAGUGUUGGAUUCUCGAAUUAAAGGGAAGGAAUGUUGGCCGAUCAGAAGUCACGUGCUCUGCUACACGUGCUAUAGACGUAGGCAGAGUGAAAGCGAAGAAGAAAGCGAUUAAUAGAUUCUAUUAGUGAAUUAAAAAGGGACUGUACACGUCAUUUAAAAAGAGUGGUUUGAUUAAAAAACUGAACCUUUAAAACCUCUCGUUGAGGUUGAGAAGCAAUCGGGAGAUUUGUUUGUUUUUUAUUUAAACGUUUAGAGUUAUUCCUUUUAUCGCUUCUGCUUCAUUUAUCCUAUAGUAGACAAAGAUCUAAAGGAAAUUGUUGCGGAUCCGUUUAGAGAGUUAUUUAAGAUUACGUGAACAGUCCCAACAAUAACAUUUUAAUUAUUCAAACAGAAUUGUAUUAUUAUAAAUGCAUUAACAGUUGGUUUAUAAACCUAAACAAAUGUUGAAUAAAUUCUAAUCACUUUAUUACUGUAGACAUAUUUUAUAAUUAUUAUUAUUAUGAAAUUUAUUAAUUUAUUAAUUUUAGAGUUUAUUAAUACCAAAAGAAUAUGUUAUCCUGAAAGCAGCAUUGUGAACCACAGAGAAAAUGAAUUUAUUUCAAUGUUUUCUUUUUCUAUUUUUAUGAUUUAAAAACGAAAAA